GCAUCAUUCUGUAAUUAAAGUCACAACGGUGAAAGAUGAGCAUGCGUCCCAUUAGCUAGUUGGUAAGGUAACGGCUUACCAAGGCUACGAUGGGUAGGGGUCCUGAGAGGGAGAUCCCCCACACUGGUACUGAGACACGGACCAGACUCCUACGGGAGGCAGCAGUGAGGAAUAUUGGUCAAUGGACGCAAGUCUGAACCAGCCAUGCCGCGUGCAGGAUGACGGUCCUAUGGAUUGUAAACUGCUUUUGCACAGGAAGAAACACUCCGACGUGUCGGAGCUUGACGGUACUGUGAGAAUAAGGAUCGGCUAACUCCGUGCCAGCAGCCGCGGUAAUACGGAGGAUCCAAGCGUUAUCCGGAAUCAUUGGGUUUAAAGGGUCCGUAGGCGGUCUUGUAAGUCAGUGGUGAAAGCCCAUCGCUCAACGGUGGAACGGCCAUUGAUACUGCAGGACUUGAAUUAUUGGGAAGUAACUAGAAUAUGUAGUGUAGCGGUGAAAUGCUUAGAGAUUACAUGGAAUACCAAUUGCGAAGGCAGGUUACUACCAAUGGAUUGACGCUGAUGGACGAAAGCGUGGGUAGCGAACAGGAUUAGAUACCCUGGUAGUCCACGCCGUAAACGAUGGAUACUAGCUGUUGGGAGCAAUCUCAGUGGCUAAGCGAAAGUGAUAAGUAUCCCACCUGGGGAGUACGAACGCAAGUUUGAAACUCAAAGGAAUUGACGGGGGCCCGCACAAGCGGUGGAGCAUGUGGUUUAAUUCGAUGAUACGCGAGGAACCUUACCAAGGCUUAAAUGCAGACUGACCGAUUUGGAAACAGAUCUUUCGCAAGACAGUUUACAAGGUGCUGCAUGGUUGUCGUCAGCUCGUGCCGUGAGGUGUCAGGUUAAGUCCUAUAACGAGCGCAACCCCUGUUGUUAGUUGCCAGCGAGUCAAGUCGGGAACUCUAACAAGACUGCCAGUGCAAACUGUGAGGAAGGUGGGGAUGACGUCAAAUCAUCACGGCCCUUACGCCUUGGGCUACACACGUGCUACAAUGGCCGGUACAGAGAGCAGCCACUGGGCGACCAGGAGCGAAUCUAUAAAGCCGGUCACAGUUCGGAUCGGAGUUUGC
This 1112-nucleotide ribosomal RNA is filed under the name Flavobacterium johnsoniae. RNAcentral describes it as "bacterial SSU rRNA". It matches the Rfam family "Bacterial small subunit ribosomal RNA", at positions 188 to 1308 of the family's 1533-position model. Lineage: Bacteria; Pseudomonadati; Bacteroidota; Flavobacteriia; Flavobacteriales; Flavobacteriaceae. The record is from RNAcentral.